GUUGGGGAAGGCCUUCCUCACGACACGAUGCUUAUUAAUUUAACUCCCGAUGAUGAAGAAUGCACUCACGCUAAUUAUGGAUUUGAAAAUGAUUAGUGAACAAGGGAUUUGAAAGAAGCUCAUGUCUCUUAUACGAUGUUGUGGUUUGCUAAUAAUGUUAAGUUUAUAUUUUUUUAGUUUUGGCAACUGCCCACUAAGUACUCUUGUACUUAGCCCUGCGUAUGUUUAUGAUUGUGCAGGUUGAGCUGUGAUAGGCGAUGAAGUG
This 265-nucleotide long non-coding RNA is filed under the name Salvia miltiorrhiza (redroot sage). RNAcentral's name for it is "long non-coding RNA (SMIL_LNC009642)". Lineage: Eukaryota; Viridiplantae; Streptophyta; Magnoliopsida; Lamiales; Lamiaceae. The record is from RNAcentral.